AUUAAACAUUCACAACUUUAUAUGAUUCAAUGUGAUUAAAUCAACCCAACUAUGCAAAAACAAGAAGAAGAAAACAAGCGCUCUCUCUAUUAGGCUCGAUAUGUUUGGUUGGCCAUUUUCUGACAUGCCCCUCUCAGACACUGACAUACGCUGACAAAACCACCUUCUGCUCAGUUUUACCUCAUAUUUUGAACAUUCAACAUUCAACAACAUAAAUGAUUCUACUGACUACAGUGUUGUUCUGGCUUGGAGGCCAGCUGCUGCUACCAAUGCCAGAGUGAUGGCUGGGGACCCAAACACCAAGCCCUUAUGUCUUUGUGGGAUGCGAGGCAUUCCCUCUGAGGGUAAACCUGAUGCAACCAUAUCCAGGGUCUUCUGGCCUUGAUGACACUAAGAUCUACAGCUACUGCCACUCAAGAACCAGAAGAAUUUCAGAGAACUGCUUUGGGAUCCUUGCUACAAGACGUGAGGAUCCUAUAGAAAGCUGAGACCAUUGUGAAGGCCUGCAUGGCCCUCCACAAUUACCUGCACCACAGACACUAGACAUUGACAACACAGUCAUCAACACAGUACAUCCACCCCAUGUUUGUUGACUACUCCAUAACCACUGGGGAUCUGUGUCCAGGAGAGUGAAGACAGCUCCCUGGACCAAAAAACAUGUAAAUGUUGGGAGUGUGGAUUGGAAAACGUGUUUACAUACAUUCUCUUAUUUUGGUUGAUGUCUGUCAUGUUGAGUUACACACAAUGGUUUUCUGUUCUUCUUAUUCACACUUUACAAAUCACAACAAAGACUACAAUAAUGACAGUCACUUCAUCCUUGUUUUAGCUUUUCAUAUUCUUUGGAGGCUCAACCUUGUUAUGUGUAGUGGCCUUUCAGUGGAGACCUUGCUGCUAUAGUACAUGGGUGAGAUUGAGUGUCCAACUGUAGACAAUAAGGACAGACCCCCCAAGACAUUAACCUAAUCUACAAAGUAGUACAAGUUUACUGAGUGAUUGAUUCAAAACAGUAAUAUUUUCUGCCACAAGUGCAAAUACAUUUGCAGACCUUUUAGAUAUUUAUUUACUAUCUCAAGAGGAAAAGAGUGAUAAGUAAAACACAGGGUAAACGUGUGGUGAAAGGGGAAAUAAGAGAAAAAACUAAGUAAAAACCAGUAACAAGAAUUAUUUCCUCAGUCAAUAUAAAAAAUCAUGCAAAAAAAACCUGUAAAUUACCCACCACUCUUACGUGUGAAUAAGAAAAAAAGCACACAACACACGUUUUUGGAGUGAGACGGAGGGCUCUGUAUCACUCGAGAGCGGAUGGGUCGGACACUGUACUAAUUGAUGGCCCUGUGAAAGUACAUCAUCACGUCCCUGACAAACGGGAGACAUUGAUCAGCUGGAAUAAAUACUAUCCAUGGUACCAUGACAUCGAAGAUGGCCAUUGCUGGACACUGCUGCCGUUUCUGUAACUCCUGUUGCCAAGUCAUCCACCUGCUGCAUAAUGUCAGUGUCCAAAGGAUCCUCAGCUGUCUUCCUCAGUUGGCCAUUGGAGCUGGGUCAGGAAGAUGGAGCGGAGGUUGAUGAGUUGCAGGGCAGAGAGCAAGGGUGCGCCUGGACAGUACGUUGGGUGUUGGUGAGAAGGGCAUUGGGGAAAGGGGCCGGGAGGUGAAGAAUCAGGAGGCGAUUAACCACUUUUAGAUAGGCCCUCAGGGCUCUGCUUUGUCCAAAACACCAGCCCCCCCAAAACUACAAGCAGAUUAUGAAUACAUUAGAAUACAAUGCACACAAUCUUAAAACAUCUCCAUGCGCUCCUUUGAGAUAAAAUGUU
Oncorhynchus keta (chum salmon) is the source of this 1810-nucleotide long non-coding RNA. RefSeq lists it as uncharacterized. The record is from RefSeq and is a predicted model, not a curated record. The transcript has 3 exons. Lineage: Eukaryota; Metazoa; Chordata; Actinopteri; Salmoniformes; Salmonidae.